CAGUGAAGAAGAUGUCAGUACUGAGGUGUGUGAGAGAUAUGAAGGAGGUUGUUAAACAUCUGAUGACAGAGAGAAACAGGCUGCAGAGACUUUGAGCUUUGAUUACCAACACAUUUGUAUCAUUGCUGACAGUGACCUCUAAACUUCUUCAGCUCUGAACAGAUUAUUAAACCUUAAUAAUAAUAAUAAUAAUAAUAAUAAUAAUAAUAAUAAGCUUUAUUUGUAGAGCACCUUUCAUACAAGAACUACAGCCCAAAGUGCUUCACAGCAGAAACAUCAAACUUAGUAGAAGAUGAGACAGAGCAUUUACAGCACAAUAAUCACAGUGUUGAUGUAAAUGAGUGUGAAGUCAAUUAAAAUAAUAUAAAUAACAGAAUUAAAAUAGUAUAAAUAACACUGGAGAUCAUGCCUAGUAUCUGUAUCUGUGCCGUACUUAACGACCUCCUGAAACCACGUUCAUCACCAUUCUUGUAGAUGUUUGAAAGGAUCAGAGCCACAUGUUGAAAGCAUGAGAUCCACAAUGGGCCCCUGUGGCCCUUCAGCUGGUUUACUCCCUUUGCUACACAUUCUUCAGAGUCUUCCCGUUUCAUAAACAAACCCCACUUUGUUAAGUUUUAUGAAAUCUAUCGGUUAAAGACAGUUUUUCUCCAACAAUAUUCUUUAAUCUUUCACUUUUCCACUAAUUGUGUAAAGAACAUGAAACACAUUUAUCAGAGGAGCUUCCUCUUGUUCCCGUGGUAACACCGUCUGUCUGAUCUCAGGCUUUUCAAAAAUACACACCUUUACACAUUCAAUGUUCCACCUUGAACUAACUCAAGCAGCAACAUUGUUUUCUAAAGUUACAUCAUGUUUUCUUUAUUCAGAUUGAGGGUCUACAGGCUGUCAGAGAUCAGCUGGGCUUCUCUGUUCUCAGCUCUGAAGUCCAACCCCCCCCUCCUGAGAGAAGCUGGAGCUGUGGAACAUCAAGCCUGCAGGAUUCAUCAGUGAAGCUGCUGUGUGACCUUCUGGAGAGUCCAGACUGCAGACUGGAGACUCUCAGGAUCGAUGACGAGUUGAUCACAGCUGAGAAACACACAACAUGUGAGUAUUGCAGCAUAUCCUCCAUUCAUCCAGAUAUUACAUGAACAUCUGAUCUUAAAAUGAGAUGCCCUCAUCGUACACAAACUACUUUCAAUUGUGUUUCUGUUUGAUAUAUAAAAUAUAUAUUCUAUUUCUAAAAUA
Molecule: long non-coding RNA, 1221 nt
Filed under: Cottoperca gobio
Lineage: Eukaryota; Metazoa; Chordata; Actinopteri; Perciformes; Bovichtidae
Description: lncRNA (ENSCGOG00000005508.1)
Source: RNAcentral